RNAcentral lists this long non-coding RNA (1060 nucleotides) under Citrus x clementina. RNAcentral describes it as "Citrus clementina (C. clementina) long non-coding RNA (CCLE_LNC001767)". The record is from RNAcentral. Lineage: Eukaryota; Viridiplantae; Streptophyta; Magnoliopsida; Sapindales; Rutaceae.
AAAAGAAACCAAAAUAUAAAACCACUUACCACCAUUCAAAAAAGUAAAUUAAUCAAAUGCACAACAAGCUAAUAUUUAUAACUUGAAUUUGAAUUUGAUUUUUUUUUUUUUAAUUUUAUAGUGUACUGACUGAGCCAAGGCGGGGUUCAGGCUUGGAAACAUUAAGUCCGGGCCUGGCCUGGCUCGGGCUCGGAAACAUUAAACCUAGGCCGAGACACAGAAAGUCAUUGUUUCGGAUCGAAGCUGGGAAGGUUUCAAGUGUUGCAGGACAAUGGGGGGGGUCAUGUCCUCUUCCAACCGAAAAAGUGGAAGGAGAAUCAUGUUCCUUCAAGUAAAGCAAAACAUAAAAUGAUGGGAAAAGGGGGGAAAGCUAAACACAUGUUUGAUUGAAUUGUGAUGAAUGAUAACAUGUUGGGUAUUUGAUUAGACUAAGCCACUUUAUGGGAGACAAGCCCACAUGAAAAUUUGAGACAGCAACACUUCUGAGUUGAGUGUUGUACUCGUCUUUCUUAGCUAACGCAUAAUUGUCCUUGCACUGAUGUUUACUCUUUGAUUGAUGGGUUAUUUUUCGUCGCCCCCCAGAAUGUUUCAGCAAAUUUUGCCACGCACCUAAUUAUUUUAACAACUACUAUCACAUACUCAUUCUGACAAAAUUACCAUUAACUUUAUUGGAUUCAGCACUCAUUUAAAUUAAACUCAAUAUAAUUACUAAAAUAACCUAAAUAACUCAAAAGAUCUUAGCCAAAAAAACAAAAGUAUUAUAAUAAAUAAAAUACAUUUCUAUUUUUGUACUAAAUUUGAUUAAAAUACAAUUAUAAUAAUACAGUAAAAAAAACAAAAUCAUUAUAUUUGACUAAAACAAACUCAAGCACAUUACUAUUAACAAAUAUAGAUUAUACUAAAAAAAAUUUUCUCACUUAGCUUUCUUUAACUAUCUUUGACCAUUCAAAUUUAUUCAUCAUAAGUUUUAUUUAACUAUUUUUACUUAUAACAUGGAAUGAACAAAUUGCCCCAAUAAUGUAUAUUCUUGUACUUAAUACUUUUAGGUAUUUAAUUUUAU